RNAcentral lists this ribosomal RNA (406 nucleotides) under uncultured bacterium. RNAcentral's name for it is "partial 16S ribosomal RNA". It matches the Rfam family "Bacterial small subunit ribosomal RNA", at positions 29 to 526 of the family's 1533-position model. The record is from RNAcentral.
AGUGAACGCUGGCGGUAGGCCUAAUACAUGCAAGUCGAACGAGAGGCGGACGGGUGAGGGAUAGAUCAGAAACUACUUAAUCGAGGGGGAUAACGGAGGGAAACCUACGCUACUACCGCUUACGAUUGUAUGAGCUGAGGUCGGAUUAGCUAGUUGGCGGGGUAUAGGUCCACAAAGGGGACGAUCCGUAGCUGGUCUGAGAGGAUGAUCAGCCACACUGGAACUGAGACACGGUCCAGACUCCUACGGGAGGCAGCAGUGGGGAAUAUUGGGCAAUGGGCGCAAGCCUGAUCCAGCCAUGCCGCGUGGGUGAAGAAGGCUUUCGGGUUGUAAAGCCCUUUUGUUGGGAAAGCGGUACCCAAAGAAUAAGCACCGGCUAACUUCGUGCCAGCAGCCGCGGUAAUAC